CAAAAUUCAGUGAAAAAGAGAAGUAACUUAAAAUUUGUAUUUAUAGAGAAUUGGGGAUGGUGGAAGCUCAAUAAUAUAAUUUAAGUGAAUAGAGCUUUGGAGAAGAUUAUCUGAAAAUAGUAUGAUAAUAGGUAGCCUUGCCUUAAAAGGAAGAGUGAAUAGUAUUUAUAAAUGCUAUUAAUUAGAGUGGUAACGCGGUAAAUUCGUCUCUUGG
Molecule: non-coding RNA, 214 nt
Filed under: Terrisporobacter sp.
Lineage: Bacteria; Bacillati; Bacillota; Clostridia; Peptostreptococcales; Peptostreptococcaceae
Description: T-box sequence
Rfam family: T-box leader
About the family: Uncharged tRNA acts as the effector for transcription antitermination of genes in the T-box leader family. T-boxes are found upstream of many aminoacyl-tRNA synthetase genes and some amino acid biosynthetic genes usually in Gram-positive bacteria.
Source: RNAcentral